Long non-coding RNA from Gallus gallus (chicken), 8694 nucleotides. The record is from Ensembl. Lineage: Eukaryota; Metazoa; Chordata; Aves; Galliformes; Phasianidae.
CGGAUUUUUUUAGAUAUUCACACUAUGUCUAGAUGAAGGUAAAUAACCACACAAGUGUUUAUACAAGCACACAUGACAUACAGACACCUUCUCUUCUGUGUAUACUUAUGUUAUUUACCGAUUUUACAUAAGGAAAAUGUCAGUAGUUUCUAGUUCAGAAGAAAAGAGCCUGUCCUUUCGUUUUAUAUUACCCGUCAUUAUUUUGUCGCAUAGGGGGAAUUCAGUCUUGCUGAAACCGAGCUGGCUGAAAAUCUGCCGUGCAGCACCUAGGCUCCCUCUGGAGGGAGCGGAGCAGCACAAGCGCCUCCAGAUGGCGUCUGAUCCCGGCUCACCUGGCCGAGGAGGGAGAGCGAUUCCUAUUUCACGGGUGUGACAGAUGGCAGCAGAGGGGCAGUCUGACACAACGGCCUCUGAUGUGGAAGUGUGGAUCAAGUAAAGGUGUGUCACUGAAUUCCUUCAUGCAGAAAAAAUUGCACAGGUGUGCCUGCUGAGCAUUGAUGGAGACCAACCAGUGGAUGUGAGCACAGUUAGGCAGUGGGUGGUAGGCAUUUCAGCAGUGGAGACAGCGGGUUACUUCCACUGGUGCAGACUGUUAUGUGUGGCUCUUUUUCAUCACUGUUGAAAAUGCAACGCUCAUGGUGGUCACAGCUGAAAAAUCGUGUUUUGUAUUUAAGAAUUUGCUCUAUCAAACUGUGUUAUUGUGCCCUUUGUAUCCACUGUAGUUUCCGUGGAAAUAAAUAGAAGGCAUUAUGUGUGGAGCAACCUACAUACAUUCUGCUGGAUCUGGAAGUCCAAGAGAGGCAAGGCCUCUGCAACGCUGCACGCCUAGGUGCCUCCAGUAGUGAGCCUGAAAAUGUAUGUCCAGGAGGUACCUGCACACAGAGCACAUAGAUAUAUAUAUACCAGAUGCAUACACAUGCAUACAUCCAACUGGCCUCAUGAAUCCCGAACCAUCAAAUGAACAGAGCACCAAUGGCCUCACCUUUUCCCCUUCCUGGUGGAGUGAGUCCUUCACUGGGAGUGUAUAUCCUGUAUAUGAGAUGGAUCCAUUCAGCAGCUGGUCUUGUGCUCCCCAGCUUAUGGCACUUGGACACAUGAAGGCUCCGGGGAGACGUUAUAGUGGCAUUUGCAGUGCUUACAGAGCACCUACAGGAGAGAUGAAGAGGGGAUUCUUCAUCAAGGGUUGCAGUGACAGGACAAGGGCUAAUGGUUUUCAGCUAAAUGAGGAUAGGUUAAAGUUAGAUAUAAGAAAUAAAUUCUUCAUAAUGAGGGUGAUGAGGUCCUGGCAUAGGAUCCCCAGAGAAGCUGUGGAUGUCCCAUCUCUUGAAGUGCUCAAGGCCAGCUUAGAUGUGGCCCUGGGCAAUUUGACCUAGUGGAAGGUGUCCACACACAUGGCAGCAGAGUGGGAACUAGAUGGUCUUUAAAAUUGCAUCCAAUAAAAACAAUUCAAUGAUUCUGUGAUUCUAAAUGCAGAGCAGGGCCAGAAAAGUGCAUUCAACAGUGCUUGCUUAAAUACAAAUUAAUCCUUUUAUUUCCUUGUGUCUCUGUUUCCCCCAUUUUUCCCUACCCAAAUGACCUAAAUCCCUCCUUUUUUUUUUUUCUUACCUUUGAUCCUGCCCCUAAACAUCCUACAGUAAAUCCUGUGCAAUCCCAACUGUCCUUCCCUGCAUCCCAUAAUGUGUCUCAUGCCAAGGCAGCAACUGUCUGAAGUCCAAGUUGUUUCAGAGAACUGCUCCCAGUGUCUCACAGUGGUGAGUUUCACAACUGGAUGCCAGGGCUCUGGAUCUGCUGGCACAACCCUGGGAGGGUCCCAGACAGAAUGCCCCUUCCUGUGAGUCUUUGAGUCCCCCUAUCUGCCUUUGAUGGGUCUUUGAUGGGCUGGUGGCACCUGGGCCAGGGAGUGGUUUGGCAGGACUCCCCCCUCCUUAUUCCCUCUGAGGUUCAUUUGUAGGUCUGCAGACCAGCUUUUGUCAUAUACUGAGUUUAUCUUGUAACUAUACUGAGCUAAAAUUUAGUAAGACAAAAAAAAAAAAAUAGCUGCAUGAGACUAGAAGAGCCAUCCCAUCCUAAAUAUUUGCCUUCUGAGACAAAUUUGAUAUCCGGUCUGCUUUGGUUUUAAGUAUAUAUUAUAGCUCUGGCUAGUCUAUUACAGAUAUAAUUUACAUGUUAGGUCACUUCAUGUCCUAUCUGUCAGAACACACUAUCAUCACUACACAAAAGAUGUUUUCCUGUUUCUUUGAGAGAGUGCAGGAUGACAACAUCUCUUGAAUAAAUUUUGGUGGAUGAUAGAUAAUUUCAUCACCAAAAUUACAUCAAUUAUCAUCCUGUCUGCAUUUGUUAGUUUCGGGGGCGAGUUAGAGAGGAAAUGUGAUGAUGUUAUGUCAGUGGGUGUAAAAGCAGCUUUCAGUUCCUAAGCACUUCAUAAAAGUAAUGCUCUACCAUGCAACUUCACAGGGUCAUUCUUAAGUUCUCCGUUAUGCUUUGUACAACAAAUUUUACCUGCAAAUAAUGUGAAGUAAAAAAAAUAAAAAAAUAAAAAAAAUUCAAUCAUCCACUGUGUGAUUUCAAAAGAAUGUCAGUAGGAUAGAAAAUUUAGAACAUGAAUAGAUUCUUACUUAGUGUGCAUUUGUGUAGCCCCACUGAUUUUUCUACAGGCAGAAUUGACUUCAGCAAGCCUUGUCCCAGGAGGUGACCAAUAUUUCACUAAACUACGUUGGCAUGUCACCUGCCUCCUAUCCCCAAACAUAUAUCAGCAUGGCUUCUGAGCACCAAGCUUAUCUUCCAGGUUUUAUGUACAAUUAUAGUGUGAUAGAAGUCAGUAAAAAUCUCCUUCAUAGUUGGAGAUCUUAAGAGAUUUUCUGGUAAUGUGUUAGAAGUAGUGAUAAGCAAGGCAUGCUGUCAGUACCUGAAAAAAUAUCUUUUCUACUAUGUUUCAGAGUGGCCCAUAGUAGUUCUUGUUUAACAUCACGUCUAGUGGAUUAUCAACUGCUUUAUAGAAGAGUGAACUGUAAGUAACCUUAUAUUUGCCUACGUAAUGUGCUGAAAAUAUUCCCAGCUGCAGUGCAGCUUGAACUUGCAAUUGAGAUCUUCAAGUACAAUUGAAGUCAUAGUUCCAAAAAUAAAGCUUGACUUGAACUACAAGACCUGAGAGAAUUUGAAGAGUUUAUCCUAACAAGCAAUCCCAUAAGUAAGAGUUUCUCAACAGGCAAAUAUAUGUAAGUUACUCCAAAAGCAAUGCUUCUUGCUUAUUUCCAUGGAAACUGCAAUAGAUACAAAGAGCAAAAUAGCACUAUUUGAUAGAGCAAAUUCUCAACAUUUUUCACCUUAGUCACCACCAUUAGCUAUGCAUUUUUGCCAGUGGUAAACAAGAGCCUUCAUGUCAUACCCACUGCCUCACUGUGCUCACAACCAGUGUUUAGUCUCCAUAAAUGUUCAGCAGGCCUCAAUGAACAUCAGUGGGUGCUAUUUCUUCUGCAUGGAGGAGUUCAAUGACACACCUUUGCUUCAUCUGCACUUCCACAUCAGACACCAUUGUGUCAGACUGUCCCUCUCCUGCUAUCUGUUUUAUGGCAACAAAAUAGAACGGGAUACUCUCAGUAAGGUUCGACUUCUAUUGCCAUAUCACUAACAUUUGGAGCAGUCUCAUAAAAUCGAACUCCUGCACUUUGUCAUUACUGUUUUUGAGAAUAAAGCCCCUUUUAUGUAGAUCCCCUUGACUAAUUCUCUGCAAAAGGCAGUCGUAACUGUGGAAGCAGUUCUAAUUUGCUCCUUUUGAAAAUGAAAUGGGGAAAAGUCACCAGAAUGUAAUGCAACUGCUUGAGUUGGGAGCUAAACAUUAUUUUGAGAUUCAUACUGGAGAACUUAUAGUAGGAUUUUCAGCUAUUAAGGAACUUGAUCUUAUCUCUUAUCUUCAAAGGCAAUACCUCUAGCAAGUUAGUGUUUCCUGCCAUAGGGAAAGGCAAGGUUGUAAAGAGCAGACCUGAGGAAGGCGUGCUGCCUGGUGAGUUACCAACACCUACACACUGCAGCAUUUAGAUUUUUUUUGGAAGCUUCUCACCCAGAUACUAUCCAUCCCCAUCUGUGCUCAGCUUGAGAGCUCUGCCGUUAGCCAGAGCUCAAAGCUGCAGGCCAAAUUGGAGAUGCAUGAUCUGAUCAAAAUUUCCUUUUAUCCUACCUCAAGAAUAAGUGACUGAAAUGAAUUCCAUCAGCUCUAUACAUUUGUAGAGGUGUCCCCGGCGCAUUCAAACUGAUUGGCUUAUUGCCAUAAUGGUUUCAGGAAUGUAGUGCAGUAUAAAUGCAUGAGUUCUUUGCCGUAGCACAUUACAAUCAAAAUUCCUACACAUCGACACCUGCUAUUAUUUAAAUUGCUUACUGCAACUCCAUUGAACAUGGCACUUUAUUACAAUGGAUGCUUAGCAAGAAAAUCAAAUAGGAGGGGACAAAGGGAUAAAAUCUCAAGAAAAUGAGAGCACAUAAUCAAAGAAAAAAUAUAUAACGUUUUGGGAUCUCCACUGUUAUCCUCACAAUAUUAAAUCACUCUUUUCUAGUCUAGCAGGGCAGAAUCUGAAUCACUCAGAAGCUAAAUGCAAGUUUGCGUUGCUGAAAUAGGCACUAAUAGGUGAAAUCAUGAUUAUGUAAAAAUCACCAUCAAACUUCCCAAAUUCAGCAUGGCCAGGAAUUCAUCUCAAGUGACUAAAAGUGUCCAAAAAGAAUUCUGUGAGAGUCCAAUACAUUUUCUUACUCAUAUCUUAUUCAUAGCUAUUCAAGUCAUACCCUGCCACUAGAGAGGCAGAACAUUAAAAAAUAUGCAAUAUUUUUCAGGGCUACACAAAGUAAAAUGUGUCUAAAGGGCCCAUUCAACAAUCCAUCUGCACGAAAUCUUCAACACAGAACUCUGACUCAAAGGAUACCAUCAUUUUUUUUCCUAAUAUUUAGGCCCUAGUAGCUAUUUUUCUUAAGAUGGAACUUCUCAGUCAGAAGAGCUAGAUCGUCUGAGGUUGGGCAGUUCUGUCAGUAUUAGAGUUCCAAGAAUUGUGUGCCUUUCAUAGUAAUCUUAUUUGUGAAUAAAUGCUUUUUCUUUCCUUUAAUAGCCUGACAUCCUUCUCAGUGUCACUGAAACAAAAUCAAUUUUUGUUUUUAAAUUGCUUGUCUAGUUUUGUCUUUAUAUUAUAACUUUUAUGAGCACCAAUAUGAAGCAGAAAGAAAUAGGUUUGACUCACAGACAGCCUUAUUCCCCUCCCCCCUCGAUGAGCUCUCUUGCAAAUUACAUCAGUUUUGUUACAUUACAAAACAAAGCCAAUUUUGAAUUUCUCCACGAAAUAGGAUUUUCAUAUUUUGUACAGUUUUACCAUUAGAUUUCACUUUCACUGAUGGCAGAUGAAAUGUUUGGAAUGCACUUCCCAUUUGAUUUUUCUUGGUUAAUGAUUUCUCCAGUCAGCCAAUAAAUUACCUCUCCUUGGCCUCUCUCAGGCAUUCUACUCUUGGAAGAGACUCCUCAAAGUUCCACGGCAAAAGAAUUUAUUUAAUUUAAAUCUUGAGGUGAUAAAGCUUCCAGUGACACAUUAACACUUAAAUAAUAACAGCCAUCUCUACACUGCCUCUUCAUAGUCCAACUGACUGCACUAUUUUCCAGUUAAUUACCCAGCUGAUUUAUACAAAAAGUUGUUAGUGAAAUCUAAAUUCACUAAAUAUCUAAUUUCAGUGCUCUCCUUACAUGGACUAGCAGAGAGCUGCAUGACUGUGUAAUAGCCUGCUAUUUGCAUCUUUCUGUGCUAUAAUUGUCCCCCUCUUUUAGCAAUCUGUUCAUAUUUUCAGAUGCAUAACAGGAACAUACCAGUUUCUUGGUAUCUUUGUCACUAUUACAUUUACAUGCCAUUUUCAUUGCUGGUUUCCUUGAAGAGCCAGGGGCCAAAGUCACUUUGCACCUGUAUUAUCUAUAGUUCUUAGGUUGGACAGAUCAGAAAGCUUAAGAUUGUGCAUAUUAAGAAGAACAUUUUGUUCCUAUUUGGAUAUUAAGAGCAAACAGCAGCAUUUGUCAGACUCUUUCUCCAUUACAAUGUAAAAUCCUUCUACAACCACAUACAAACUGCUCUAUAUCUAAACUCUUUCUCUAAAGGCAAUCUGUACGGUGUUAUUUUUCAUGGCUGAAAUUGCUGGCAUUUAUGCCUCAACUAUGUUCAAAUAAUCACCCUGAAAACUGGAAUAUUUCUCAGUUUUAAUGUAAGUCUCCCUCCAGGAGCUGAAGUUAAUGCCGAAGUUACAUAGCAAAAAAUGUAUGAAAAAUUUCUCUAUUGUCUCUGAGUUAAGUGAAAUCUUCACUGUACUUUUUCCUCCCCUCCCUGCCCCACUUUUAUAAAGCGCUUGUGGGCAGAUAAAUGCUUGACAGUUGAAUUGUUUAAGCUUUGCCAUGAAAAAAAGUGAUAUUAGUACCUGAGCAAGUAUAAUUUGUGACUUGGAAAUAAAAGAGGGCUGUAACAGUGAGAUCCAUGAAUUGCCAUAUAUCGUUUGAAUUAUGCAUGCAAACUUUAUGGAAUAACCUAUCAACUGAUCAUCUCCUUUUUGUCAUUUGAUGCAUAUUAAUUUUAUGCUCUACUGCUUCAGCUGCUAUUUCAUUAGAAUGUUUACUGCUGUUUAAGGUAUAUUACUUCACAGCAGAAAUAAAAGUUGUUAUAUGCAAAUAUUCUUUUCCCCUUCAGCGUUAUAACCUGUGUAAAAUUUAUUCUCUUCAAAAUUAAAUACAACGAGAUAAUGACUACAGUGUUGUAAUUUUUGUGAUUAUGUAGGCACAUUGUUUUCCUUUAUUCUAAGUCUUCUUGAAUAAUUUAAAAAUCAACAAUAGAAAAAAUAACUCCCCUGUCUUAGAGUAUAGGAUCAUAUAAUCAUAGAAUGGCUUGGGUUGAAAGGGACCUCAGAGAUCAUCCAGUUCUGACCUCUGCUGCGGGCAGGGUAUGUUGUGAUUUCUUUUUUUCCAGACGGUGGUUGGUAAUGGAAAAUGCUGGGAACCAAUAGAGUUGACUUGAGCUAAGCAGCAUGUCAACUUGAUGAUAAAUGGUUAGGUUGAACCUUUCCUAAAUCUGUUUUGGAAAGGCCAAUUUUUUUGUGUACUCAUUGGUCAGAGUGAUUAUUUCCAACUACCUGCUCUAAUUUCAACGCUGUACUAACAAACCUGCAUGACCACAGGGAAAUACAAUCACGAAGUCCAUAUAGUUAGAUGACACCUACAGUUGCAGUGUCACUGUAACUAAAUGAGCUGACAAAUCAGAUACAGAAAACACAGAAAAUACAUGCAACCUGGAGAACGGAGAUUUCUGGGGGAAGGAAGGGGAGAGUAUGUAGCUGGCAGUAACUGAGCAGCACUGGUUGUGAGGGCUGCAGGGCAGGUGCCUUGGGAAGCCCUGUUACCAGGGAUGUGAGCUGGGCCUGCAGCUCACCUCAGGUUGGCAGGUGGCUGAGUCUCAGGGAUGUCUUCCUGAGCUGUCUGCUGAUAGGCUCCCAGACCAAGGGAAAGCACAUGGCGCUCUGAUGCUAAACAUCGUAGGAGAAAUAAUAAAAAAAUAAUUUUAAAGACUGUUUUGUUCUAGUAGUUAUGCAUAAACCCACACAGGGGAGUUUAACUUUUUAUUCUGUUUCCUUACGCAGUAUUUCAUGACCACUUUUUCUUUUACUUCACUGGAGCGCUAAUGUUCAUGGAAGUCUGCCUUUUUGUUUCCAGAUGAAAUAUUAGGCAUUAGGCAUCACGGUCUGUUUCAAAAAAAUAAAAAUGAGCAAAGCAGAGAGGUUUGGUUUUUUUUUUUCAGCGAAUACUUUUUCUUUUCUAAAAAUAAGAUUUGUGGUGUUUUUAGUUUCUAAAGAAUAAGUUGUCUGAAGUCUAAAAUAAAAAUCUUCUUGAAAAAUUCCUUUUUAUUCCAGUAAUGCUAAUGCAAAUAUGAAACAGAAAGACGUGGUGAAUCAAACGGCAUACAUCCAUUAGGAAUACUUCACUUUAAACUCUGUAUCUUAUAAAAUUGCCCAAAUGAUAGAAUCUGUUAUGAAAGACUUCUUCUCCUAUGUCUGAUUUUAAAAUGGGACAGGAGAGGUUUAGUUUAGAUAUUAGGAGGAAGUUUUUCACUCAGAGGGUGUUGUCACACUGGAACGGGUUGCCCUAGGAGGUUAUGGAUGCCCCAUCCCCGGAGGCAUUCAAACCUGGGCUGGAUGUGGCUCUGGGCAGCCUGGUCUAGUGGUUGAUGAUCCUGCCUAUAACAGGGGGGUUGAUGAUUCUAUGAUUCUAUGAAUACUCACCUGAGAUACUUUGUUAACUCAGUCUUCUUCAGAGUAUUGUUUUUUACAGUGUAUGGAAAGCACAGCUCUGGAAUUUCAGUCAAUUAUUUCAAGAUAAGCAUUUAUGUUUGGAUAUUUAUUUUUAGAAAUACAUAUAUGUAAUGCAUUCGUAUGAAUAUAACCAUAUUAAUAUACGUUUAUAUAAAGCUUUGUGUUUGCAUAUAUUAAAAUUUACGUGGUGCUGUUGCAAUUAGUUUUAUUCCUGACUUGAAUACCAUCUACCAUCUCUAAUACGGUAUCAGUAGUGACUAUCAGGAGUAGUAAGAUAGCUUACCAUCUUGUUCUGGCCUUUGCACUCUGGCCAAGUGCUGUGGCUGUGACCAGAAGGUCUGGCCACCCAGAGGGCGCAGCUGCUGCCUGCACCUUUGUGCUCUUUCA